Molecule: ribosomal RNA, 160 nt
Filed under: Phlebia sp. DABAC9
Lineage: Eukaryota; Fungi; Basidiomycota; Agaricomycetes; Polyporales; Meruliaceae
Description: 5.8S ribosomal RNA
Rfam family: 5.8S ribosomal RNA
About the family: 5.8S ribosomal RNA (5.8S rRNA) is a component of the large subunit of the eukaryotic ribosome. It is transcribed by RNA polymerase I as part of the 45S precursor that also contains 18S and 28S rRNA. Functionally, it is thought that 5.8S rRNA may be involved in ribosome translocation.
Source: RNAcentral
AACUUUCAGCAACGGAUCUCUUGGCUCUCGCAUCGAUGAAGAACGCAGCGAAAUGCGAUAAGUAAUGUGAAUUGCAGAAUUCAGUGAAUCAUCGAAUCUUUGAACGCACCUUGCGCUCCUUGGUAUUCCGAGGAGCAUGCCUGUUUGAGUGUCAUGGUAU